This 241-nucleotide ribosomal RNA is filed under the name uncultured Staphylococcus sp. RNAcentral's name for it is "partial 16S ribosomal RNA". It matches the Rfam family "Bacterial small subunit ribosomal RNA", at positions 99 to 334 of the family's 1533-position model. The record is from RNAcentral. Lineage: Bacteria; Bacillati; Bacillota; Bacilli; Caryophanales; Staphylococcaceae.
CGGACGGGUGAGUAACACGUGGAUAACCUACCUAUAAGACUGGGAUAACUUCGGGAAACCGGAGCUAAUACCGGAUAAUAUAUUGAACCGCAUGGUUCAAUAGUGAAAGACGGUUUUGCUGUCGCUUAUAGAUGGAUCCGCGCCGCAUUAGCUAGUUGGUAAGGUAACGGCUUAACAAGGCAACGAUGCGUAGCCGACCUGAGAGGGUGAUCGGCCACACUGGAACUGAGACACGGUCCAG